UUAGGGCAAAUGAAGAAACUGAUAUUAAAUGAGUAAUUUGCAUCUGAAUAUUCCUUUGAUGCUAACACCUUGGAGAUUUGAUGCCCUUC
This 89-nucleotide small nucleolar RNA is filed under the name Macleaya cordata. The record is from RNAcentral. Lineage: Eukaryota; Viridiplantae; Streptophyta; Magnoliopsida; Ranunculales; Papaveraceae.